RNAcentral lists this ribosomal RNA (573 nucleotides) under Scaphiophryne madagascariensis. RNAcentral's name for it is "partial 16S ribosomal RNA". It matches the Rfam family "Bacterial large subunit ribosomal RNA", at positions 1834 to 2621 of the family's 2925-position model. Lineage: Eukaryota; Metazoa; Chordata; Amphibia; Anura; Microhylidae. The record is from RNAcentral.
UGAAAUAACCAUCGGAGGUCCAGCCUGCCCAGUGACAAAGUUAAACGGCCGCGGUACCCUCACCGUGCGAAGGUAGCGCAAUCACUUGUUCUUUAAAUGAGGACUAGUAUGAAUGGCAUCACGAGGGUUAUACUGUCUCCCUCUUUUAAUCAGUGAAACUGAUCUUCCCGUGAAGAAGCGGGAAUACAUCUAUAAGACGAGAAGACCCCAUGGAGCUUUAAACUCAGUAUCAACUGCCCUCCCAAUAUAUCCACCUAAUUAAGCAGACAUGACUACUAGUUUUCGGUUGGGGUGACCGCGGAGCAAAACAAAACCUCCACGAUGAAAGGAAUUAACCUCCUAAUCAAAGAGCUACAUCUCUAAGAAUCAACAAAUUGACAUUUAUUGAUCCAAUUUUUUGAUCAACGAACCAAGUUACCCUGGGGAUAACAGCGCAAUCCAUUUCAAGAGCCCCUAUCGACAAAUGGGUUUACGACCUCGAUGUUGGAUCAGGGUAUCCCAGUGGUGCAGCCGCUACUAAAGGUUCGUUUGUUCAACGAUUAAAACCCUACGUGAUCUGAGUUCAGACAGGAG